RNAcentral lists this non-coding RNA (87 nucleotides) under Azotobacter beijerinckii. The record is from RNAcentral. Lineage: Bacteria; Pseudomonadati; Pseudomonadota; Gammaproteobacteria; Pseudomonadales; Pseudomonadaceae.
UGUCAUGGUGGCUGUGCGCGGGAGACCUUCGGGUCUGCCGGGUUCCUACUUGCCCGGUUCGCCAACCUGCGCACAGUCGCCUCCAAU